RNAcentral lists this small RNA (28 nucleotides) under Bombyx mori (domestic silkworm). Its description in RNAcentral is "ovarian small RNA-10360". The record is from RNAcentral. Lineage: Eukaryota; Metazoa; Arthropoda; Insecta; Lepidoptera; Bombycidae.
AACCUCCCGUAGUUUUUUCGCCAGCAAA